CUUCCUGGUUUUGCGGUUUUUGCCUUUAUAAACCCUAACCUUUGGUUAUUCGGGGCUGCUCUGCUCAUGAUGAUCAGACAGCCCCAGCAUGCUGGAUAAUCAAUAAAGCUUCCCCUUGCUGUUUGCAUAAGAGAUGUCUCUUGGUGACGUUUUUCGGGCAGUCGACUCUAACAUUUGGAGGCCCCAGCGAGAUCGGGGCUGCCCGUGGACGCCUCCAACAGAAGUCUCUUGGGGAGUGGAUUGGCCCCCCAUUUACCACUCAUUCGCUGAGUGAAAGAGGCCAUUCUCCUGCCUGGCCGUCCUGGGCACCCGGACCGGGAUUUUGAGAAGACAUCGGAGGUCAGUAUUCCUUCCCUCAAGCGGGAUCGGAUCUGUGGAAGUGACCGUUGAGUGUCCGGCACCCCACAGCUCUCCGAGAACGCGGAGUCCCCCCGGCCACGGCUUAGCUACGGUCGAAACUCCAGAGGGAUUGUAAGGAACGGGAGGGAAAUUAGGAAGGGCAGUUGGCUGAGAGCCUGGAGACCCCCUGAGCUCGCUUUGGCUUCCCGGCGGCCGGACUGCGACCCGAGGAUCAGGUCUCUCUCUCGGAGGGACGCCUGGUCACGCUGCCUACUGCUACGCGAGCAGGGCUUAGCUUCGGUCGAGGCUAAUAUUGGCCCUUCAGGUAAACUCAGACAACUAGGUAGUGGGUAACCUUGAGUGAUAGGAGAUUUCAAACCCCACUCAGCCCCCAGACAGCAGGAGGUCAUUGCUUUCUGCCUUCCUCCUCCUCCCCGGGGCUCCUUCCCCCACUCUUUUGCUCUCCUCAUCUCCAUUCCUAUACCACUGGGCAGGAGAAAGGGAGAGGGAAAUUCCACAAGUCUCUCCACCUAGGGAAAAGCUGUUACCUGUUACCUGUUAACCCUUUCCAACCUGGUAGAAAGUUUUCCGUCUUUGCAGCUUAUGGUAGCUCUGGUGCGUCUUAAAGUUUUUUGUGAACUAUUACUGUUGCUAAGCUUUGAUUGCCUGAGGACUAAAUCUGGAAAAGAGCUAAAGUUAACUAUCUGUUGUAAUUGACUGAAUGUCUGCAGUAGUCCUAAUUAAUCUGGCUUUGGUUAAAUUAUAGGAGGUUCCCAACACUCUUGGUAAAAUGGCGCACCUACCCAACCCCACAGUUAGUCCUGCCAAGCCCUGGUGUGCGCAGUCUUUCCUGUAAAUGGGGGACCACAGCCUUUCUCUGCACUCUAUUCUAGUCCAUGUGGCCUGGUGCACCCAGGCAGCCAUAGCCAAAUAUCUCUAGGCAGAGCCCCCACCCCAGUGCUGCUUCUUUUUUCCUCUCCUGGAGGAAUUUCCAAUUCAAUAUUACUGCUGGCCUUACCUAAGGGAGCCAGAACCUUAAGCCAUUAACCCUUUCCAACUUGAUGGGUUUUUCUCUUUGCAGCUAAUGAAAACCUAAACAAUGGGUUCAUAUGCUGAUAAUCAGCUCUUUUCUGUGCUGCUGUCCCUGACUCAUCUGAGAGCGUUCACCUGUCUUGAAGGUUUCGCGUUUUUCUAUUGCCAUUAGAGUCUUGAUUAAAAAAAAACACAAUGCAAAGUUGUUUACAUUGUUUAUCUGUUUUUAAUGUCUGAAUGAUUACCCAACUGAUCAGAAAUGUACUAAUUUUGGCUAAAUGGUUUGACUCUCUGACAGCUUAAAUUCUAAAUCGAGUCUUCCAACUUUGGGCUUCCAGUUGGAUCCCUGGAACUCUCAAAGGAUGAGACUCUAAAUUUGUUAAAGUAACAGCUGCUUGGGUCAAUUCAGAUUAUAUAAAAUAUAUUAAAAUGUUAUAAAUGGUGUCAGACCUAUGCUGUAUUUAUGUUUUUGCUUUCCAGCUAAAGUGGUCUUAUAAAAAUAAGAGUAAAAUUCUGUGUAUACAAGCCUUUAUGUUGUUAACUAAAGUAAGCCAAUGCAGAUUGGUUCAGAAAACUGAGGUAAUGCAAACACCCUUUGGUUUGCUCAGUGGCUUGCUUGCUCAGUUUUACAUGUCUUUGAUAUGCUUUAAACUUGUUUCUCUUAAUGAGGAAGAUCUUUUCAAAGUUGUAAACAUGCACUAAUGUUUGCUGUCCAGGAGGUGUUAUCCUUGUGUUACUUAAAAAUAUAAAAAUGUAAUUUUAACUUUUAUUUCAGAUAAUGGUGUGGUAUUCAUUAAUAACUCAGUGUCUUAAGUCAUCUAGGCAUCAGUGCUAAGUAAAACUUGGAAAAAUAUAUUAUAUAUACUUUUAACAUCUCAAAUUCAAUAAAAAAAAACUGUUUGAGUUUGUUAACAUGUAUUCGCAUAGGUUGUCCAUACAUGACAAUUCAAGGCUAAUAAAAGUAACUAUGAGUAUAAAGUUUCAAAAGGUAUAAACAAGUCAUAAAAAGUUUUAAAAUGUUUAUAAUUUUAAAAUAUUAUUUACAGAGUUAAGUGCUAAUGCUAAAAUUACACUGACCUAAAGUUAAAGUCUAAUCUUCUGUUAUAACAAUGGGGUUUAAAAAAAAAAAGUGUACUAAUAUUAGUAAAUAUCUAAAAAUGGUCUAAAUCAUAAAUCUUGAAAUCUGUUUUUGCAAAAACUGUAACGUCUAUUUUAACAGUGUCUGCUUAAUCAGUUACUCUGCCAUUUCUAGAGUUAGGUCCUGUAAACUCUUUUUGACUCUGCUAAAUAAUUCUAAAUUAUGUAAACUCUUAUAUACAAGGUUUUUUUUUUAUUUCUGGUUUAUUCGACAACAAGAGACAUAAAAUUCAUGUUAAUCCAUUGUGUACUCUACUGUCUCUGUUAAGUUAUGGUUAUGUGGCAGAUGCUAGAAAACUGGGUUCCAGAAACCCAAGAAAGCUCUAGUGUCCACAGGCUACACGGUAAAUACCCGGAAGCCAAAGAAUGGCAGAGAACUCUGCCAUAAUUUCUCCUCUAAGUCGGGCUACGCAGUAAACACUGGUUAAACUGCCAGUUAAAUCUAAAAGCCCAGAAAGUCAGGCUAGAGACCCAACUCGCUGCCUCACUUCUCCUCUUUUCUCUUCCAGAAGGGAAGUUACUACUGUUCUGCAGGACUCUCCACUGUGAUGUACGGUUUAAUCCCCAGACCUUAUGUAAGGGAUGACUGACCUUUUCUGUAAUAAUGCCUGGCCACAGUAUAGGGCCCCAAACAACAACAACAACAACAACAAAGGUUAAACUAUAAAAUAAUGUGACAACUAGAUCAAUUUUUCGGUGUAAAAAGUUACACUGACGACCUCAAAGUAUGCAAGCAGGUCACCACAGUUGAUCUUACCUAAAGGGUCAUAGUUCUCCUCAUGGGCACAGUCUUAACUCGCAGGAAGAUAUUAAGUGUCAGAAUUUGCCCAUGACCAUAGUUUUUCUAGCUCACCCUGAUAUUUAAAAAAAAAAUCUCCAAAAAUCAGGAUUGGGUUGAGCACCCCCUUGACUGACAUCAUAGAGGCUGACUCCUUGGUCUACUUUAUUAGAGACCAGGAAAACGCGGAGCAAGCUAGCAGCAGAGGAUAGACAACAGACCAAUCAAUGGCUGCUUUACACGGUGAUUGCCAUCAAGGAGACCCAGCAAGGCCAAUGCACCCCAAACGGCACCUGUUGCUGAUAUAAGGAGCCAGGGCAUUGGGCAAGCAGCUGUCGUGACAGCAAAUGCCUUCUGUCAGCCCUGCCAAGAGCACGGCCACUGGACACGGAACUGCCCUGGGUGUCGAAGGACUCCUGGUUCAGAACCGCUGACCCUGUGGCCCCGAGCUAAAAAGCCUUUGGCUCUGUCCAGCCUCUGCCCAGCUUCCAGCUCCAGCCACUGCUAUUGAGGGGAUGGCCUAGGGUCAGUGAAACGCAAGUUGCCUAUUUCUAUCAGCCUCCUAUUCAGCUCUCCUCCUAGUCCAGCCAUGUAAUGCAAGUCAACAGGGUGCCUCCCUUAAAGGAGAUUUGCAUCUCUUUCAAUUCUCUUCCAGCAUCCCAAGGAUAGGUCUGGGCCUCACACACCCAGCCAUGCCUUAAGUCUAUCCAAUAACAUUAAGCUUAGAAAGCCCUCCCUGCCAGUUCCUAAAAACAGGGCUUUCAGUAACAGCUAACUCAGAUAGCCCUACACCUAUUUGGACAGGUCCUCACUGAGGACUUAAAGGGCCUAUCUCUUAAGGGGUGUGCACAAUAAUCCAUAAUAUAAAUAGUUAAAUGUAAGUAAUUCAUUAGUCUGUCUUCUUUCCAAGCCUGAGACGCUAGUCUUGUACAUUGGCUUAACUUCCUAGCAAAACUGGCUACUAAAUAUCUAAUAUAUAUAUAUAUAUAUAUACACACACACAUAUAGUCUCUGGGUCAAUCAGACUAGACAGACACAAACCCAAAUUUGUACUUUUUCUGGAAAAAGCCAAACAGCUCCAGGACCAGGCCAAGCAGGGCUGGGAUUUCUGGCCUAACAUCUGAUCAUAAAAAUCCUGGCUAUUUCCUCUCCUUGGCCCACUAACUUCUGCAAUCUUGAUGCUUCUCUUUGGGCUGUGUGUUUUUAAUGCCCUUGUUCAUUUUGUCUCUAACAGACUAAAAGCUGUUGAACUCCAAAUGGUCAUCAGGCAAGACUUCCAGCCCAUUCCACUGGACGAUUUGAGCAGCCCUCUGGACCGAGCAACGCAGUCUUUCCAAGGCCACUGUUGCACACCAUAAGACAGGUAGCAAGAGGAAAUACCCAAAUCCCCCUCGACGCCCACAUGCCAGCUUCGAAGAAGUUACAGAAAAUGGAACUCCAUCCAUAAUCCCAAAGAAGAAUUUUGGGUAUUACCUCUUGAGGGGAAAAUAUUAGGCAGAAAGUCAGUUAUGAGCUUAUGUGUGUGUGACAUAAAGGCCUAAUGUGUCCAGCAUAUGCAUCUACAUCUCAGUCAUCUUGACAAUGUUUCACGGGCAGCCUGGCCUUUGCAUCCUGCCCUGCCCCCUUCUACCUGAUAACCUUCCAGGUGGAGAUGCCCGCCCCUUCUGCCUGACAAAUCUUCCACAAUCUCCCAGAUGCAGCCCAGUAUCUGCAUUUCAGUAUCACAGAACAGGCGGGGGUUAAAUCUCAUUUUCAUGGGGGUGGGUUAUGCGCGGCCCUAAAAAAAAAAAAAAUGUUAUUUUUAUGUCAACUAAACUGGGGUGGUUAGAAACUCCAUGGCUAAACUCAAAAAAAUGACUGAAAAAACGGCAACGGGAGAGGGAAACUCAACAGGGAUGGUUUGAGUCAUAGUUCGGCCGGUCCCCGUGGCUUACUACUCUACUGUCAGCCCUAACAGGACCCUUAAUUGUUCUACUCCUAAUUGUAACCAUAGGACCUUGUGUGUUAAAUAGACUCAUCACCUUCGUGCAGGAACAAGUUAAAAAUGUUAAACUCAUAAUCAUAAGACAACAAUAUGUCACAUUAAAAGAUACAAAAACAAAUCUCUAAGAUUAGAGAUCCUCACAACAAGGAGUGGGGAAUGAAGAGUUAAAAUUGUAUAUGUACAGGUGUCAAAAGUUAAGCUUAAGCUUACAGGUUUAAACCUUCCUAGUGCAGCUGUAAAAAUAAAACAGUGAAGUAGCACCUUGACAGUAGGGACUCCAUUUUGGAGCACUUGAGACUGCAUUCUGGGAAAGCAACCCCCCCACCGUGAGACUCUGGUCCGAAACUAUGAUCUCAAAUAGUCGGACAAUAGCAGUGCACUACAUCACCCUUGGCAACACACAAAAACCCGCUAGCAUGAUUGCUCAAGCUUAAAAGUAGAAAGGUUGCACCUGGGUUACCUGGGCUAAUAAUGAAGAUGUGAUUUGUCUAUGUCUUAAGAUCAUAAUUGCGGAUUGUAAGACUUUAGCAACCCCUUAACAACCGUGUAUUCUCCCCUUCCUGGUUUUGCGGUUUUUGCCUUUAUAAACCCUAACCUUUGGUUAUUCGGGGCUGCUCUGCUCAUGAUGAUCAGACAGCCCCAGCAUGCUGGAUAAUCAAUAAAGCUUCCCCUUGCUGUUUGCAUAA
Molecule: non-coding RNA, 5956 nt
Organism: Oryctolagus cuniculus (rabbit)
Lineage: Eukaryota; Metazoa; Chordata; Mammalia; Lagomorpha; Leporidae
Source: RefSeq, a predicted model, not a curated record